UCCGUGCCAGCAGCCGCGGUAAUACGGAGGGGGUUAGCGUUGUUCGGAAUUACUGGGCGUAAAGCGCACGUAGGCGGAUCGGAAAGUUGGGGUGAAAUCCCGGGGCUCAACCCCGGAACCUGCCUCCAAAACUAAUCGGUCUAGAGUUCGAGAGAGGUGAGUGGAAUUCCGAGUGUAGAGGUGAAAAUUCGUAGAUAUUCGGAGGAACACCAGUGGCGAAGGCGGCUCACUGGCUCGAUACUGACGCUGAGGUGCGAAAGUGUGGGGAGCAAACAGGAUUAGAUACCCUGGUAG
Molecule: ribosomal RNA, 294 nt
Filed under: uncultured bacterium
Lineage: Bacteria
Description: partial 16S ribosomal RNA
Rfam family: Bacterial small subunit ribosomal RNA
Source: RNAcentral